Punica granatum (pomegranate) is the source of this 351-nucleotide non-coding RNA. The record is from RefSeq and is a predicted model, not a curated record. Lineage: Eukaryota; Viridiplantae; Streptophyta; Magnoliopsida; Myrtales; Lythraceae.
CCGUUUCGGCUAUUGGUACAACCGUUGACCGUCUGCUGCACUCUCUGUGUACAGCUACAGGCCAAAACGCAGACUUCGGGCAUUUCUGCAACCUUCAAAAGGUAUACAAUUUCAUCCCUCCAUUCAAAUAGCAUGGAGGGCCGGUGCAUUAGCUGUGGAAUCUAGGGGUGUAGGCGAACCAAACUGAACCAAGCCCGAAGAGGCUCAAACUCAGCUUGAUGAUUUUCUUGUAAGCUCGAGCUCGAACUUGGUCGAGUCAGAAUAUCCGAGCUCUAGCGUGACUUGUUAUACAAAUCAAAGCCUCGAACUUGUACAGGCUCGAAUAAAUUCGAAUUUGUCUAGGCUUGAUUA